CUGCAGCCCGAGUGGUGAUCGAUUUUAUUGAGCCUAAAGCGUCCGUAGCCGGACUAGUAAACCCUUGGGUAAAUUGGGCAGCUUAACUGUCCAAAUUCCGAGGGGACUGCUAGUCUUGGGACCGGGAGAGGUCAGAGGUACUCAAGGGGUAGGGGCUAAAUCCUGUAAUCCUUUGGGGACCACCAGUGGCGAAGGCGUCUGACUAGAACGGAUCCGACGGUAAGGGACGAAACCCUGGGGCGCGAACCGGAUUAGAGACCCGUGUAGUCC
This 270-nucleotide ribosomal RNA is filed under the name uncultured archaeon. Its description in RNAcentral is "partial 16S ribosomal RNA". It matches the Rfam family "Archaeal small subunit ribosomal RNA", at positions 477 to 747 of the family's 1478-position model. The record is from RNAcentral.